AGCCUUUCAUCCCAAAGAUGCAGCCGACUUGAUUGUGGUGGAUAAGCUUUUUGUUGUGCCGCUGGAUGCUGUUUGCUAGUAUUUUAUUAAGCAUUUUUGAAUUGAUGUUCAUCAGGGAUAUUGGCCUGGAUUGAGCAGGCCACUUCCAAUCCAGAGGAAGACCUUCUAGAAGAGGUGGUGGGUGGGAGAGUGCUGACAUACUAUGUGAAGCUACUAUUUGGAGUUGGACAUGAGUGCAUGUGACCUUGUGCCACAGCGGGAAUGUGAGCUGGAUGACAAAUGGAGAUUUGGACUUGUGAUAAUUGGCCUCUGUGUCACUGUUUGGAAGACUGACUGGUCCCUUUAUUUCCUAUAGCUUGACUACCACACAAAUGAAUCCACUCAAAUGUUAGCAAGGGGAGCAGAGUCGCAGGACAGUCCACAGUCUCUACAGAUACAGACACACCCCCAAUUCAAGGAUCUUCACACCUGGAUUUAAGCCUACUCCUGCAACUACCCCAGGCCAGUUAUCCAGGCAGUGACUUUCAGUACAGCUACAGUCACCUCUGGACACCUGUGGAGACUUUAAAAAUUUCCAGAAGGUCAGGAAUUUUUGGAGACCUUUCUCAUGGCUAUGUCGCCUGCAAAGGUAAAUCAAUAAGCUUCUGAACUGACUUAGAAAAUGUUUCAGAGACUCUUGUGAGCAGAUAGACCCUCUCUUGCCACUCCAGAUAGACGUAUCUGGGUCACACACACCUGAUUUAACAACAUCUCAUUAUCUCAGGCACCAAUUUGAUCUUCUACUACUUUGCAGACAUCUCUUCUGCAGACACCAGACAAAUUGAGAUAAUGACCUUCCGCAGCACCCAAACCACCUCUUACUGCAGGAAAGAAGAUCCAGUGAGAUAGUUAGUCCACAAAUGGAAUGUAAAUCCAUAAACACUCUUAAGUAACAGAGUAAAUUUAGUAUGAGGGUUUUUAUGUGGGAGCUCUUGAAAUGGUUGCUGCUCAUAUGUCAGAGACACAUGCAGAUUGAGAAAGGUAGCAGUUCCAAUCCUGGUUUGGCCCAACAGUCACUGCAUUUUUGGUGGGGAAAAGGGAUGUGGGAGGAGAUGGUACAUCUUCAUCUUUUUCUCUGGGUUUUCUGUCAGAAAGGGCUGUUGCUUACUCCAGUGGCAAAAAAUGCCAAUGUCUUCUGCCAGAGUGGGUUACUGAGGGCCAUGAUGGUUCCACCUUGUGGCUGAUACAGAUAGUCCCUUUCUGCUUUUGUUUCUAGCCAAAAAAGAUGUUUCUGGCAUCUCAGGUAUGCUGAUUUCAGCAGCUGUUUGUUCUAUGUGGCUAUUCUUUUUUUUUCUUUCACUCUCUCUUUCUCUCUCUUUUUUUUUUUGGCUUCACUAUGUUGCCAUAGUUUCUUAAAUGGUACCUUGAACCCUCCCAGGGCUAUUUUGGUUUGUACAUAGCUAUCUAUAUAUUUUUUUCUUGGGGGGAGGGUGUAGAGCUAAAGGCUGGUAUAUCCUGCUCCUGCUCCCCCAAGUGACGUUACUCCCCCAAGCUAACAUUUCAGGCUUUCAAUUUAUUCAUGCUUUUAUCUGUUCAAACAUAAGUAGAAAUUACUUUUUCUCUCCACAUUUAGAUUCGAUCUAUCUACUUUAGUUGCUAAUAGUGGCUUAGUCAUAGAAUAGAUUAGUUAGAAAAAGUAUGCUUUUGACAUUAUAAAUUGUUCUUUCAAUUUGUGUCUAAAAGUGGAAAAUACUAGAAAGCUUAACAUUUAUUAUUGUAUUCAGACCAUUAUUUCCUCCAGAUGACCUUUGUUACAACAAAGAUAAUUUAAUGAACAUCUCUCUAAUGGUAAAGCUGUUGGCUUUGUGCUAUUACAGUAUCCUUAAAAUAAAGUGAUGGUCUGGUGAAAAGAACAACUAAAGCAAAGACUAGGAAAAAAAAGUUAAUACCUUCAUUUUGAUCUCACUCUGCAUUGAGAGUUUUCAAUGUGUUAAAGAUUUAUUAUACAUUAAGUAAUUUAAUGUUCAUUUAAUAAUAAAUGGAUCCUAUUAAAUAUGAUUUUUAAAAUUAUAAUCACA
Nomascus leucogenys (northern white-cheeked gibbon) is the source of this 2057-nucleotide long non-coding RNA. RefSeq lists it as uncharacterized. The transcript has 5 exons. The record is from RefSeq and is a predicted model, not a curated record. Lineage: Eukaryota; Metazoa; Chordata; Mammalia; Primates; Hylobatidae.